Molecule: ribosomal RNA, 490 nt
Filed under: uncultured bacterium
Lineage: Bacteria
Description: partial 16S ribosomal RNA
Rfam family: Bacterial small subunit ribosomal RNA
Source: RNAcentral
AGUGAACGCUGGCGGUAGGCCUAACACAUGCAAGUCGAACGGCAGCACAGGAGAGCUUGCUCUCUGGGUGGCGAGUGGCGGACGGGUGAGGAAUACAUCGGAAUCUGCCCAGUCGUGGGGGAUAACGUAGGGAAACUUACGCUAAUACCGCAUACGACCUUCGGGUGAAAGAGGGGGAUCGCAAGACCUCUCGCGAUUGGAUGAGCCGAUGUCGGAUUAGCUAGUUGGCGGAGUAAUGGCCCACCAAGGCGACGAUCCGUAGCUGGUCUGAGAGGAUGAUCAGCCACACUGGAACUGAGACACGGUCCAGACUCCUACGGGAGGCAGCAGUGGGGAAUAUUGGACAAUGGGCGCAAGCCUGAUCCAGCCAUACCGCGUGGGUGAAGAAGGCCUUCGGGUUGUAAAGCCCUUUUGUUGGGAAAGAAAUCUUUCAGGCUAAUACCCUGGGAGGAUGACGGUACCCAAAGAAUAAGCACCGGCUAACUUCGUG